UACGUAGGGGGCAAACGUUGUUCGGAAUUACUGGGCGUAAAGCGCGUGUAGGCGGCUAUGUAAGUCGGGCGUGAAAUCCCACGGCUCAACCGUGGAAGUGCACCCGAAACUGCGUAGCUAGAGUCCUGGAGAGGAAGGUGGAAUGCUUGGUGUAGAGGUGAAAUUCGUAGAUAUCAAGCGGAACACCGGUGGCGAAGGCGGCCUUCUGGACAGUGACUGACGCUGAGACGCGAAAGCGUGGGGAGCAAACAGG
RNAcentral lists this ribosomal RNA (253 nucleotides) under uncultured bacterium. RNAcentral's name for it is "partial 16S ribosomal RNA". It matches the Rfam family "Bacterial small subunit ribosomal RNA", at positions 524 to 776 of the family's 1533-position model. The record is from RNAcentral.